RNAcentral lists this ribosomal RNA (492 nucleotides) under uncultured bacterium. Its description in RNAcentral is "partial 16S ribosomal RNA". It matches the Rfam family "Bacterial small subunit ribosomal RNA", at positions 29 to 507 of the family's 1533-position model. The record is from RNAcentral.
AGUGAACGCUGGCGGUAGGCCUAACACAUGCAAGUCGAACGGCAGCACAGUAAGAGCUUGCUCUUACGGGUGGCGAGUGGCGGACGGGUGAAGAAUACAUCGGAAUCUACUUUUUCGUGGGGGAUAACGUAGGGAAACUUACGCUAAUACCGCAUACGACCUACGGGUGAAAGCAGGGGAUCUUCGGACCUUGCGCGAUUGAAUGAGCCGAUGUCGGAUUAGCUAGUUGGCGGGGUAAAGGCCCACCAAGGCGGCGAUCCGUAGCUGGUCUGAGAGGAUGAUCAGCCACACUGGAACUGAGACACGGUCCAGACUCCUACGGGAGGCAGCAGUGGGGAAUAUUGGACAAUGGGCGCAAGCCUGAUCCAGCCAUACCGCGUGGGUGAAGAAGGCCUUCGGGUUGUAAAGCCCUUUUGUUGGGAAAGAAAAGCAGCAGGUUAAUACCCCGCUGUUCUGACGGUACCCAAAGAAUAAGCACCGGCUAACUUCGUG